GGCGGCAUGCCUUACACAUGCAAGUCGAACGGCAGCACGGGAGCAAUCCUGGUGGCGAGUGGCGAACGGGUGAGUAAUAUAUCGGAACGUGCCCAGUCGUGGGGGGAUAACGUAGCGAAAGCUAAACGCUAAUACCGCAUACGAUCUACGGAUGAAAGCGGGGGAUCGCAAGACCUCGCGCGAUUGGAGCGGCCGAUAUCAGAUUAGGUAGUUGGUGAGGUAAAGGCUCACCAAGCCGACGAUCUGUAGCUGGUCUGAGAGGACGACCAGCCACACUGGGACUGAGACACGGCCCAGACUCCUACGGGAGGCAGCAGUGGGGAAUUUUGGACAAUGGGCGCAAGCCUGAUCCAGCAAUGCCGCGUGCAGGAUGAAGGCCUUCGGGUUGUAAACUGCUUUUGUACGGAACGAAACGGUGAGCUCUAAUACAGUUUGCUAAUGACGGUACCGUAAGAAUAAGCACCGGCUAACUACGUG
RNAcentral lists this ribosomal RNA (477 nucleotides) under uncultured bacterium. Its description in RNAcentral is "bacterial SSU rRNA". It matches the Rfam family "Bacterial small subunit ribosomal RNA", at positions 38 to 507 of the family's 1533-position model. The record is from RNAcentral.